This 252-nucleotide ribosomal RNA is filed under the name uncultured bacterium. RNAcentral's name for it is "partial 16S ribosomal RNA". It matches the Rfam family "Bacterial small subunit ribosomal RNA", at positions 524 to 776 of the family's 1533-position model. The record is from RNAcentral.
UACGUAGGUCCCGAGCGUUGUCCGGAUUUAUUGGGCGUAAAGCGAGCGCAGGUGGUUUAUUAAAUCUGGUGUAAAAGGCAGUGGCUCAACCAUUGUAUGCAUUGGAAACUGGUAGACUUGAGUGCAGGAGAGGAGAGUGGAAUUCCAUGUGUAGCGGUGAAAUGCGUAGAUAUAUGGAGGAACACCGGUGGCGAAAGCGGCUCUCUGGCCUGUAACUGACACUGAGGCUCGAAAGCGUGGGGAGCAAACAGG